GGUUGCACCUGUGGUAUAUGGAAGUUCCCAGGUUAUGGAUCAAAUCAGAGCUGCAGCUACCGGCCUACACCUCAACAACAGCAACGCCAGAUCCAAGCCUCAUCUGUUACCUAUGCCAAAGCUUGCGGCAAUGCUGGAUCCUUAACCCACUGAGCACUACAGGAACUCCCUAGUACCUAAUUUUUAAAGCUAAGGUGGCUAAAGUUGAAUGGUUACUUCUUACUAAAUGAUAAAUAUUUCAGGAAGGGCAAGGACUUUUGUGUAUUCAUGUUAACUCUCUCUGAAGCAUAGAACAUGCACCAGGGCUCAGUGAAUAUUUCUUUCAAAAAAUGAUUAAAAUGAUGACCUUAUCUCUAAAGUUUGCUAUGGAAUACAAGCAGUUAUUUUCGAUAUGCUAAAUUCUUCAAGGAUGCAUUUAAUUUCAGUUCUGACCUUUAUAUGGCCUUUCUUAACUCUCUUCCAAUAUUUGGUAGUAUUUUGCUUAUCUGCUCUAGGUGUGAGAGCAAUAACUACUGGCUUCAUUCCUCAGUAUGCUUUCCUGUUCCCUGAAGAGAUAAAAGACUUGAACGAGUUAUGUGCUAGCUUCAUAGUCAUCACCAUGUUCACUGCAGGGCUAUAUUGUCAGUAAUCAGGAUCUAAAUUCACUUCAUUUUGCAUGGCAUUUGUUAGAGUUAUUAGUUUAUGAAUCAAAAGAAAUAUGGAAAGUUUUUCUAAAAAGAAUACAUCAGGUGUACAGUACUGCGUUUACACUAACACAGUGGUGCUCCAACUUACAUAUAUAUAUAUAUGAAUCACCCUAGAUCUGAGAUGUCCAAUACAACAGCCACUACCUGUGUGGCAAUGGAGCACUUGUGUUGUGGGCAGUCAAAUCAAGAUGUGCUGUGAUGAGCAACAGGCACCUGAAACAAUGCUCUGUAUCACUGAUUAUUAGAGAAAUGCAAAUCUAAACUACCAUGAGAUACCACCUCACACCAGUCAGAAUAUCCAUCAUUAAUAAGUCCGCAUGGAGUUCCCGUCGUGGCACAGUGGUUAACUAAUCCGACUAAGAACCAUAAGGUUGCAGGUUCAAUCCCUGGCCUUGCUCAUGGGUUAACGAUCCAGCGUUGCCAUGAGCAGUGGUGUAGGUUGCAGACGCAGCUCGGAUCCCGUGUUGCUGUGGCUCUGGCGUAGGCCAGUGGCUACAGCUCCAAUUCGACCCCUAGCCUGGGAACCUCCAUAUGCCGACCGCAGCUCGACCGCUUGCAGCGCAGCCGGCCGGCUCUCCAGAAAGGCAGCCUUCUCACUGUGGACGGGAGGAGAAACGCGGCGCUAUCGCCAACUAUUUCCAACUGAGCAGUUCGGCCCUCCAAUUUCUCUUUACGGGCGUGCAGCGAUUCCUGAGCGUCAGUUCCCCCAAGGCGUCUGCCAACCAGCUAGCGCGACUUCUCGAAUGGGUCACAGACUGGGCCGUCCCGCGCCGCAAAACUCUAGUCCACUCCUGACCCCGAGCCGCCCCAUCCGCCCGGGGCGUACUUGGCUCGAGCUAGGCGGCAGCUUCGCCUCCAAAGGCGACUGUUCGUUUGAAUUCUGGCGCCACU
This 1577-nucleotide long non-coding RNA is filed under the name Sus scrofa (pig). RNAcentral describes it as "lncRNA (ENSSSCG00025056192.1)". The record is from RNAcentral. Lineage: Eukaryota; Metazoa; Chordata; Mammalia; Artiodactyla; Suidae.